Molecule: long non-coding RNA, 1238 nt
Filed under: Triticum aestivum (bread wheat)
Lineage: Eukaryota; Viridiplantae; Streptophyta; Magnoliopsida; Poales; Poaceae
Description: long non-coding RNA (TAES_LNC010564)
Source: RNAcentral
UCCAGGUGUGUAGGUAUUGGCUUCAUACUGUUCUAUUUUAUACACGCAUGUACUGGACUAGAGGUCUGAUUUCUAGGACAAUUUCUUAUUACUACUUUACACCUUUUCGUAUGAUGCAUGGAUGAGGAGCUCAUAUAAGUUUGGAGAGCAUGGAUCAUAUGAUUAGUUGCAGUGGGGCUAAGCUAAAAGAGGAUUAAUGAUGCUUAUAAUACGUAUAUACACAGCCACGCAUUUUGUGAUAUUAGUAUGUGUAGUAUAUGAUUUAUGUUUUUUAAGCUCUAAAUCUAUGUUCUUGUUUUGACCCUAUAUGAAAGAGAGCAAAACCAUCUCAAAUUAGUAUGAGCGAAAUAAAUCUAUUAAUUAAUCCAUGACUUGAUGUACUAUUUAAAAGGCAAACAAUUAAGCUACAUGUAUGUAUCAUGCACGAAAAAUAUAUCUUCUAGAUGAUUAUGUAUACCAUAUAUUUGAUAUGCGUACAUAUGCAUUUGUUAAAUCUUACAAUGGGUUUCUCUAGAAACUCUUCAACAUAAAUGAACUAGAAAUCCAGGUUGUCUGCCUCGCAUUUUAUAGUGUAAAAAUGAUAGACCAAACGGAAAAACUAGUCAUCUCUUUUGUGUUGUCUACAGAACAUUUCAAUGGAUUUUCUGUAUAUCACCAAAACAAAAUAAAUGUCCUCCUUUUAAGUGUUCAUCCCAUAUACAGGAGCCAAAAUGCCUCUUUCUACAGAAACAUAGAUACAUGCUCCUUUCUAAAUAUUCAUUGGAAUAUUUUAGUUUGAGUUUCCAGUUUUAUCGUCCCAUAGUGCCCAUCUUUUUUUUCAUCUGAGUCCAUGACAUAACAUGACCCGUUGUGAUAUGUUCAAAAUGUAUUUCACGUUCUCUAAUUACACUUACAUUACCACAGAAAGUUAUUCGAUUUUUUUGUUUUUCAUUAAUGCAUUGUGUAUUAACAGUUCAUUUAUUUGUUUGUAGGUUCAAAAGAUAAAUGGAUGAUUAUAUGGGUGUGUGGCAAAUAUGUUGAUGAUCCUGGAUGCUUUCAAUUUUAGUUAAGUUGUAGGAAUGAUGUUCCUUUGUUAAGUUUUAGUUAAGUUGUAGCGAUGUUGAGGGAUGAUUUUGGUUUUCGAUUUGUUGUCAAGAAAAUAUUUAGAUUAUGCAUCACAUUUGGAUGAUGUUCCUCCUGUAAUAUCCACUGUUGUAAUCCAACAAUUUUAUAUAAUAUAUGAUUUUCUUCCUCCCGUG